This 109-nucleotide ribosomal RNA is filed under the name Aurelia sp. 9 sensu Dawson et al. (2005). RNAcentral describes it as "partial 5.8S ribosomal RNA". It matches the Rfam family "5.8S ribosomal RNA", at positions 1 to 109 of the family's 154-position model. Rfam says of the family: 5.8S ribosomal RNA (5.8S rRNA) is a component of the large subunit of the eukaryotic ribosome. It is transcribed by RNA polymerase I as part of the 45S precursor that also contains 18S and 28S rRNA. RNAcentral also lists the same sequence under 1 other name. The record is from RNAcentral. Lineage: Eukaryota; Metazoa; Cnidaria; Scyphozoa; Semaeostomeae; Ulmaridae.
AACUUCUAACGGUGGAUCUCUUGGCUCGUGCAUCGAUGAAGAACGCAGCCAGCUGCGAUAAGUAGUGUGAAUUGCAGAACUCAGCGAAUCAUCGAAUCUUUGAACGCAA